GAGAACUACGUCACGUGUUUUCAAGCAAGUAGAAGAGGCUGUCUUUUGCGUUCAUUUAAAAAAAUUUAUUCUUAGAUAAAUUAAUCAUGCCAGAUUUUGGAUAUGGAGGCGGUGAUGGUGGAUAUGGUGGUGGGUACAGGGGAGGACGCGGUGGUAGAGGUGGGGGACGAUCAAGCUUUCAGAAAGAACUCGACCCGGAACACGAACAGUUCCGAAAACUCUUCAUUGGUGGCUUGAGCUACGACACAACUGAGGACGGUCUGAAGGAUCACUUUGGUCAGUGGGGAGAGGUGGUUGACUGCAUUGUCAUGAAGGACCCCAACACAAAGAGAUCUCGAGGUUUUGGCUUCAUCACGUACAAGCUGGCGUGCGAAGUCGAUGAAGCUCAGAGUAACAGACCACACACGAUAGACGGACGCGAGGUGGAGUCAAAACGAGCCAUGCCAAGAGAGGAGUCUGGCAACUCGAAUUCCCAGCAGUCAGUGAAGAAGAUGUUUGUCGGCGGGCUGAAGGACGACACGACAGACGAACAGAUGAGGGAGGUGUUCUCGGAGUUUGGUAAUAUCGAAGAUGUCAAUAUGAUCACUGACAAAACAACGGGCAAGUUGAAGGGAUUCGCCUUCGUCUCGUUUGACGACCAUGAUGCAGUCGACAAGGCUGUCUUGAAGAAGUUCCAUGACGUGAAUGGCCGGAAACUGGAAGUGAAGAAAGCCAUGUCAAAAGAUAGUGAAGGCGGAGGUCGUGGGGGUAGAGGCGGCAGGGGAGGUCGCGGAGGUUAUUCGGGUGGCAGUAGUUAUGGAGGCGGUGGUUAUGGAGGCGGCAGCAGAUACAGCAGUGGUGGUGGAGGUGGAGGAUAUGGUGGCCAGGGAGGUUACAGUGGAGGUUACGGAGGUCAGAGCGGGGGUUAUGGAGGAGGUCAGAGCGGUGGUUACAGUGAUACAUACAGCGGUGGCUACGGUUCGCAAGGUGGAGGCAGUAGCUGGGGAGGUAGUUCGUUUGGAUCGGGUUACGGUGACAACUACGGAGGGGGCUCCAUGAAGGGCAGCAGUGGGUACUCUCAGCGCAGUCAGGGGCCGUACAGCGGAGGUGGCUACAGUGGCGGUGGCAGUGGCGGUGGCGGUGGCUAUGGCGGAGGAGGCUAUGGAAAGCACUGAGCGUUGAAAGAGGACUAUCCCAGGCAGGCAGAGUGAUAGCGGCAGUCUCAUUUAUCCAGAACCCAUACUUCCAACAAAUUAGAAUUACCACAGGCAGGCUAUGUGAUACAACAAAAGGAAAAUCUCAAAAAAGGCAAAUUAGCUCAGGGCUAGACUCAUCAAGAACCUAUAUGAAAAAUACUGCGAGGCCCAAAACCAAAACCAAAAAUUCAAUAGUGCUUCAUUGAGUGGCAAUGAUCCAAGAGGCAGGUAGUUGAGGAUUAAGUUCACCCAGAACCCAUGCGAAACAUUCAACAAGGUCGUUACAAAUGUUCUUGCUCGUUACCCCGGACAGGCAGGUAGUUUCAGGAAUAUACUGCGAGACCAAAACUGAUCAUUCUUCAAUCAAUAUUUCUGACAGGCAGGUAGCGCCCAGAAUCCCAUGUUCUGCAAGGUCUUUUAAAAAAAAGUACUUCAGUUGUUACCCCUGACAAUAUACUGUGAUGCCAAAGUUGACCGUUCUUCAUUCAAUACGUCCCGACAGGCAGGUAGCUCAGGAAUACUUUCGCACAGAACCCACGCGAAAAUACUUCAAUCGUUACCCCCGACAGGCAGGCAGGCAGGCUGGUAGCUCAGGAAUACUUUCGCACAGAACCCACGCGAAAAUACUUCAAUCGUUACCCCCGACAGGCAGGCAGGUAGCUCAGGAAUAUACGGCAAGACCAAAAUGUUCUUCAACGUGUUUGUUUAAUAAAUUCAUGCAGAGCCCAAAUGAAAACUACUACCAGGCAAUAACCGAUUCGUCAAUUGUUUGUUGGCAAUAUAUUCUACAGGCAGAUCUCUGGAGUGAAAUUCACCCAGAACCUAUGUGAAAACUGAAGCCAGUUCUGGCUGGAUGAAAAUACUGGAUUAUUCUGAUAAUGUGUUUGACCGUGUGUAGUAUAAUAAAAAAUGACAGGCAGGUAGGUUCCUAUUGGCUUUAGAAUUCAGCUAAUUAUGAUUUGCUGAAUUAAAAAAAAAAAGGACAAAUCUGUGAUGUUGAAACCAUGCACUUGAAAUGUUUUAGAAGAGACUUGUUUUUAUAAAAUCUACCUUUCGACUGUUGUGGUUGAUCACGGAAUAACAAAACAAUUAUUUUUACCUCUGGCAGUCUCACUGGCCUUGCCUGGGAUAGACAAAAAAACCCUGAAAAGUAUUUAUGAUUGAGAGGGAUCUGAUAGAUACGUACGUUUUUUUUUUAAGUCUUGUGUAUGUUUCAUCAUGUAUCAUUGUUUAUUCAUUCUGUCGUUGGUCUAGAGAAAUAAAUGUUUAUCGAUGUC
This 2452-nucleotide unclassified non-coding RNA is filed under the name Gigantopelta aegis. Its description in RNAcentral is "heterogeneous nuclear ribonucleoprotein 87F-like, transcript variant X4". The record is from RNAcentral. Lineage: Eukaryota; Metazoa; Mollusca; Gastropoda; Neomphalida; Peltospiridae.